UGGGGAAUAUUGGACAAUGGGCGAAAGCCUGAUCCAGCCAUGCCGCGUGUGUGAAGAAGGUCUUCGGAUUGUAAAGCACUUUAAGUUGGGAGGAAGGGCAGUUACCUAAUACGUGAUUGUUUUGACGUUACCGACAGAAUAAGCACCGGCUAACUCUGUGCCAGCAGCCGCGGUAAUACAGAGGGUGCAAGCGUUAAUCGGAAUUACUGGGCGUAAAGCGCGCGUAGGUGGUUUGUUAAGUUGGAUGUGAAAUCCCCGGGCUCAACCUGGGAACUGCAUUCAAAACUGACUGACUAGAGUAUGGUAGAGGGUGGUGGAAUUUCCUGUGUAGCGGUGAAAUGCGUAGAUAUAGGAAGGAACACCAGUGGCGAAGGCG
RNAcentral lists this ribosomal RNA (376 nucleotides) under uncultured bacterium. RNAcentral's name for it is "partial 16S ribosomal RNA". It matches the Rfam family "Bacterial small subunit ribosomal RNA", at positions 355 to 723 of the family's 1533-position model. The record is from RNAcentral.